RNAcentral lists this ribosomal RNA (500 nucleotides) under uncultured bacterium. Its description in RNAcentral is "partial 16S ribosomal RNA". It matches the Rfam family "Bacterial small subunit ribosomal RNA", at positions 29 to 523 of the family's 1533-position model. The record is from RNAcentral.
AUUGAACGCUGGCGGCAUGCUUUACACAUGCAAGUCGAACGGCUGCACGGGCUUCGGCCUGGUGGCGAGUGGCGAACGGGUGAGUAAUACAUCGGAACGUACCCAGUAGUGGGGGAUAGCCCGGCGAAAGCCGGAUUAAUACCGCAUAUGCCCUGAGGGGGAAAGCGGGGGACCGAAAGGCCUCGCGCUAUUGGAGCGGCCGAUGGCUGAUUAGCUAGUUGGUGGGGUAAAGGCCUACCAAGGCGACGAUCAGUAGCUGGUCUGAGGGGACGACCAGCCACACUGGGACUGGGACACGGCCCAGACUCCUACGGGAGGCAGCAGUGGGGAAUUUUGGACAAUGGGCGAAAGCCUGAUCCAGCAAUGCCGCGUGUGCGAAGAAGGCCUUCGGGUUGUAAAGCACUUUUGUUUGGAAAGAAAAGGCUCUGGUUAAUACCUGGGGUCGAUGACGGUACCGGAAGAAUAAGGACCGGCUAACUACGUGCCAGCCGCCGCCGUAA